RNAcentral lists this ribosomal RNA (725 nucleotides) under uncultured bacterium. Its description in RNAcentral is "bacterial SSU rRNA". It matches the Rfam family "Bacterial small subunit ribosomal RNA", at positions 59 to 795 of the family's 1533-position model. The record is from RNAcentral.
CAGUCGAACGGACUUAAUAUGAAACCUAGUGAUUGUUAAGUUAGUGGCGGACGGGUGAGUAACGCGUGGAUAACCUGCCGUAUGCAGGGGGAUAACAGUUGGAAACAGCUGCUAAUACCGCAUAAGCGCACGGUGCCGCAUGGUACAGUGCGAAAAGAUUUAUCGGCAUACGAUGGAUCCGCGUCCGAUUAGCCAGUUGGCGGGGUAACGGCCCACCAAAGCGACGAUCGGUAGCCGGCCUGAGAGGGCGGACGGCCACAUUGGGACUGAGACACGGCCCAAACUCCUACGGGAGGCAGCAGUGGGGAAUAUUGCACAAUGGGGGGAACCCUGAUGCAGCGACGCCGCGUGAGUGAAGAAGUAUCUCGGUACGUAAAGCUCUAUCAGCAGGGAAGAAAAUGACGGUACCUGACUAAGAAGCCCCGGCUAACUACGUGCCAGCAGCCGCGGUAAUACGUAGGGGGCAAGCGUUAUCCGGAUUUACUGGGUGUAAAGGGAGCGUAGACGGCACUGCAAGUCCGGAGUGAAAGCCCAAGGCUUAACCAUGGGACUGCUCUGGAAACUGUGGAGCUUGAGUGCGGGAGGGGCAGGCGGAAUUCCUAGUGUAGCGGUGAAAUGCGUAGAUAUUAGGAGGAACACCGGCGGCGAAGGCGGCCUGCUGGACCGUAACUGACGUUGAGGCUCGAAAGCGUGGGGAGCAAACAGGAUUAGAUACCCUGGUAGUC